GAUGAAGAACGUAGCGAAAUGCGAUAAGUAAUGUGAAUUGCAGAAUUCAGUGAAUCAUCGAAUCUUUGAACGCACAUUGCGCCCGCCAGUAUUCUGGCGGGCAUGCCUGUUCGAGCGUCAUUACAACCCUCAGGCCCCCGGGCCUGGCGUUGGGGAUCGGCGGAAGCCCCCUGCGGGCACAACGCCGUCCCCCAAAUACAGUGGCGGUCCCGCCGCAACUUCCAUUGCGUAGUAGCUAACACCUCGCAACUGGAGAGCGGCGCGGCCACGCCGUAAAACACCCAACUUCUGAAUGUUGACCUCGAAUCAGGUAGGAAUACCCGCUGAACUUAAGCAUAUCAAUAAGCGGAGGA
RNAcentral lists this unclassified non-coding RNA (353 nucleotides) under soil metagenome. RNAcentral's name for it is "partial contains 5.8S ribosomal RNA, internal transcribed spacer 2, and large subunit ribosomal RNA". The stretch from base 1 to 120 matches the Rfam family "5.8S ribosomal RNA", at positions 35 to 154 of the family's 154-position model. The record is from RNAcentral.